RNAcentral lists this long non-coding RNA (1217 nucleotides) under Triticum aestivum (bread wheat). Its description in RNAcentral is "long non-coding RNA (TAES_LNC021205)". Lineage: Eukaryota; Viridiplantae; Streptophyta; Magnoliopsida; Poales; Poaceae. The record is from RNAcentral.
AAUGCUAUGUCUGAUAUCUUAUGACAGUCCUUGUAGAUUUUGUGUUGAUGUAAGUAUUGUACUAAACUCAUCUUUACGAUUAAAUACGGAGUUGCUAAGGGUCCUAUAGGUUGGAGAGACUAGUAUCCUAUUUUGUCAAGAUAGUAACUUCUUGUUCUAAAGUUUACUCUAUUACUUGUGUUCUAAAAUUUACCUUGUUUUACUAAAUUAUGUUGUUACUAAAUUUUUGCACUAUUGUACUAAAAUUUGCCUUGCUACUGUUGUACUAAAAUCUAACCAUUGAUUAGGAAGGAAGAGAUUAAGGGAGCAAAAAUAAUGAGGAAGGAGCGCUCAGAAGAAGUUACUAAAAAUCCACUUAAGGUGUGACCUUCACGUAACUCACAAAUCAUAAUCAGAUAUUCAUGAUAAUGGCACCAGACACAUGACAUCCAUUCGUAUAACUAUAUAUAGUAUAUUGUACUUGAUGCUAUUAUUGUUCCUUUUUAACAUGAUGCUUAUAUUGUUCCUUUUUAAAUUGAUGCUUAUAUUGUUUCUUUGAGCAUAAAGUAUAUAUUUAAAUUCUUGAAACCUUGCAUCUAUUUGUUCAGGAGAACUGCAGAUCUUUCUAUGAAAAUGAAGGUUGUGUUGUAUGCAGUACAUGUUUUUUUUCAAAGGAAGUACCUGAUAUCUUACAUUCUAUGUUUGCUUCAAGUUUACUUGAACUCAAUUGACAUCUAGCAGAUUUCUUCAUAAUAAAACAAGGAUCAAAAGUGUGUAAGAUGUAGGAUAUUGCUCCACUUUUCCGUCUGCAAUGUUACUAAUGUGAUAGCCUUCAACAUUUGUAUGUUGCUCCUCUACAUUUUUGUGCUCUGUUAACCUGAUUUUCUCUAUCGUAAAUUACUCAUUUCAUUAUUUGUUUUUGUAGAUUGCUGAGAUAAAUGGAGGAUGCAUGGCUCAGAUGUUGAUUGCAAGGCAUAGAAUGGGGAUAAUUAGAAUGUCAUUUUCAGGAAAAUGUUUGAAACAUUAUAGUUGAUUGGAAGGUCGAGAAUUUUGCUACUAGUAGAUAGCUCACAUCUUGUAAUGUUUGGAUCGUGCUCGGUGUAAUGCAACAUAGUUGAUUUAAUAUAUGCGAUCUUUCCGUUUAUUGUACUAUGCCUCCUAUACACUAUGUAUUGAACUAAUAAUUGUGGAUGGCAAUGUAUAAAAUAUCAUCAAUUAUUCAUGCUAUGUACCGAAGC